Molecule: long non-coding RNA, 679 nt
Organism: Oreochromis aureus
Lineage: Eukaryota; Metazoa; Chordata; Actinopteri; Cichliformes; Cichlidae
Exons: 3
Source: RefSeq, a predicted model, not a curated record
CACAUCUGAAACCUGCAGGGACACCGGCCCUCGUGGACUGGGAUUGGGGACCCCUGCUCUACAGUCUAUAGUUUGAGUGGCAUUUUAGCAGACUGCAACCCACAGUGACAGACAUUUCUCAUGUGUCGUCUGUGAGGAAACAGCAGCAGGCCGACUGUUCUGUUGCAUCUUUAUUGAUUGGCCUCAUUCUCUGAUUGCUGCAACGAUGCUCAGGUAGGUGCUACGUGUCAAAGUAUCAUCCACAUGGAUGGUAGGACCCAAGGUUUCCCAGCAGAACAUCGCCCAAAGCAUCACACCGCCUCUGCCGCCGUGCCUUCUACCCACAAUGCAUCCUGGUGCAAGGCGUUCCCCGGGUAAGCGACACAUGCACACCUGAUGUAAAACAUGACUCAUCAGACCACCUUCUUCCAUUGCUCCGUGGUCUAGUUCUGAUGCUGAUCAUUGGUGGUUUUGGUGGUGGGCAGCAGUCAACACGGGCACCCUGACUGGUCUGCAGCUACGCAGCAACCAAACUGUUGGAGCUACAGCACUACUGACGUUAUGCUUUCCCCUGCUUCUAAUAUCUACUUUGAGGACAGCAUGCUCACUCGCUCCCUAACACAUCCCACCCACUAAAAGGUGCCACGAUGAAGAGCUAAUCAGUGUUCCUCACUUCACCUGUGAACGUUUAAAAUGUCAU